UGGCUCAGUGGUUAAGAGCACUGGUUGCUCUUCCAGAGGAUCUGGGUUCAAUUCCCUG
Molecule: transfer RNA, 58 nt
Filed under: Neotoma lepida (desert woodrat)
Lineage: Eukaryota; Metazoa; Chordata; Mammalia; Rodentia; Cricetidae
Source: Rfam by way of RNAcentral